CCUACGGGCGGCAGCAGUAGGGAAUAUUGCACAAUGGGCGAAAGCCUGACGCAGCGACGCCGCGUGAGGGAUGAAGGUCUUCGGAUCGUAAACCUCUGUCAGCAGGGAAGAACGGUCACUGUGCUAAUCAGCAGUGAAUUGACGGUACCUGCAAAGGAAGCACCGGCUAACUCCGUGCCAGCAGCCGCGGUAAUACGGAGGGUGCGAGCGUUAAUCGGAAUUACUGGGCGUAAAGCGCUCGUAGGCGGUAUGUCAAGUCAAGUGUGAAAGCCCCGCGCUCAACGUGGGAACUGCCUUUGAAACUGGCGAACUGGAGUGUGGGAGAGGAUAGUGGAAUUCCAGGUGUAGGAGUGAAAUCCGUAGAUAUCUGGAGGAACAUCAGUGGCGAAGGCGACUAUCUGGCACAUAACUGACGCUGAGGAGCGAAAGCGUGGGUAGCAAACAGGAUUAGAUACCCGAGUAGUC
This 465-nucleotide ribosomal RNA is filed under the name uncultured bacterium. RNAcentral describes it as "partial 16S ribosomal RNA". It matches the Rfam family "Bacterial small subunit ribosomal RNA", at positions 338 to 795 of the family's 1533-position model. The record is from RNAcentral.